RNAcentral lists this ribosomal RNA (420 nucleotides) under Burkholderia sp. 49C(2010). RNAcentral describes it as "bacterial SSU rRNA". It matches the Rfam family "Bacterial small subunit ribosomal RNA", at positions 272 to 684 of the family's 1533-position model. The record is from RNAcentral. Lineage: Bacteria; Pseudomonadati; Pseudomonadota; Betaproteobacteria; Burkholderiales; Burkholderiaceae.
GGCGACGAUCAGUAGCUGGUCUGAGAGGACGACCAGCCACACUGGGAGUGAGACACGGCCCAGACUCCUACGGGAGGCAGCAGUGGGGAAUUUUGGACAAUGGGCGAAAGCCUGAUCCAGCAAUGCCGCGUGUGUGAAGAAGGCCUUCGGGUUGUAAAGCACUUUUGUCCGGAAAGAAAUCCUUGGCUUUAAUACAGUCGGGGGAUGAGGGUACCGGAAGAAUAAGCACCGGCUAAUUACGUGCCAGCAGCCGCGGUAAUACGUAGGGUGCGAGCGUUAAUCGGAAUUACUGGGCGUAAAGCGUGCGCAGGCGGUUUUUUAAGUCUGAUGUGAAAUCCCCGGGCUCAACCUGGGAACUGCAUUGGUGACUGCCAGGCUAGAGUAUGUCAGAGGGGGGUAGAAUUCCACGUGUAGCAGUGA